Dreissena polymorpha is the source of this 969-nucleotide long non-coding RNA. RefSeq lists it as uncharacterized. Lineage: Eukaryota; Metazoa; Mollusca; Bivalvia; Myida; Dreissenidae. The transcript is spliced from 4 exons. The record is from RefSeq and is a predicted model, not a curated record.
AGUUAAUGAUAGUUAUGAUUUACUAAUAGAAGUACUAAAUGUAGGAAUAUCAUGACUCAUGUCUUCAAAUAUUGUAGCGUGUAUGUCUGUCAAUUUUUCUCGUAAUUGAUACUGAGUUUUUAUUAAAUUCAUAUCGUUAUUUUACACCAAAGAAUCGAAAUGUUUUAUGCAUUUAUUUUAUGUAUUUAUUUUCAAAAUUCUAGUUGCAAGUACUGUUAUAACGAAAUCAUAUUUUCCGGCGUUUGGAACUGUCAGCCUUUAAAAUGACAAAUCGUUAUUGUGUUUUUAUAUCUAAUGUUUUGGCAGAAGAGUAUUCGAGUAUCAAUCAAUACAUUAUUUCUAUGCCCCACAUUUGAAGAAAACUAUUUAUUUUUAUGUUUGUUUUUAGAGUAAAUGUAUCUCUCUUUUCAAGGAAAAUUCUAAUCUUACACAUUUCCGCUUCUUUCGCUAUAUAUUUGUUUUCGUACUAAUUCUACUUCGUACUUAUAAUGAGAAUGCUCCUCGAGUAGGGAGCGAACCCACGAACUCCCGAUCGCUAGGCGGACACCUCAUCCACUACACCACCGCGAUAGUAUAUACGAAUGCCUACUGUAUAUUUAUUUUUGGCAUAGAAUUUACUUUAUUACACAGUGUACAUAGCUUUAGAAUUAAUUUUCAAUUGUAAACACAAACCUGAAAACUAUCACUCAAUUUCAGAGUGAACAGCAUUUGAUUGUGUAGCCCCACGAUAGACAAAGUUAUAAAGAAAUGGACGGACUUUAAGACGCACAAAAACAACCAUGUGUGAAUGAUGAGAUCUCAUCCAUCACAUCAGUUGAACAAAAGUUGGAAAUCCGCGAAACAGCGCAUGUGAGGCCCAGUCAUUUGAGCGGAUAGUGUUCCACUUCAUUGUUCCCUAGCUGUACAGUUGUUGGAGAAAACCCUGUAUUGUUAUGUUACAAAGAUAAUUAAAUAAAGGAGUAGAAUUUA